Molecule: long non-coding RNA, 763 nt
Filed under: Homo sapiens (human)
Lineage: Eukaryota; Metazoa; Chordata; Mammalia; Primates; Hominidae
Description: HSALNT0205094
Source: RNAcentral
CGGUCCCCUUCCACGCUGUGGAAGCUUUGUUCUUUCACUCUUCACAGUACAUUUUGCUCCCUCUUUGGAUCUGUACUACCUUUAUGAGCUGUAACACUCACUGUGAAGGUAUGCAGCUUCACUCCUGAAGUCAGACCACGAACCCACCCAGGGGGGGAACAAACAACUUCAGACAUGCCACCUUUAAGAGCUGUAACACUCACUGUGAAGGUCUGUGGUUUCAUUCCUGAAGUCAGCAAGACCAUGAACACACCCAAAGGAAGGAACUCUGGACACAUCUGAACGUCUGAAGGAACAAACUCCAGACACACCAUCUCUAAGAACUGUAACACUCACCACGAGGAUCCACAGCUUCAUUCUUGAAGUCAGCGAGACAAAGAACCCACCGGAAGGAACCAAUUCUGGGCACAAUGGGGACGUACCCAGGAGAAUAGGAAACUUACAAAAUUGUUGGAAAUGUGAUUCUAGUGCCCAUUAUGUCACACUCUUGUGUUGUUUCUCUGAGAGUUGCACUAAGAAAGUUCAAAUACCUGUUGGCUUCCAUAGACUAAAUUCGGGCUGAUAACGAGAAGGGUUCCUGACCAAGGGGAGUAAAGGAGAUGGAAUGAAGCUUGUGUGCUGUACUUCAAGUCAUGCAUCCAGUACCAUUUUCCUGCACAUAAAGCGCUAUCUAUUCAUUAAGAUUUCUAGUUGCAGAGCUGGAUCCAUCCAUAAAAAGAACCAUUUUUCUAAUUUAUAGAAAGAUGUCUCAUGGCCUAGAAAC